Molecule: ribosomal RNA, 406 nt
Filed under: uncultured bacterium
Lineage: Bacteria
Description: partial 16S ribosomal RNA
Rfam family: Bacterial small subunit ribosomal RNA
Source: RNAcentral
AUUGAACGCUGGCGGCAGGCUUAACACAUGCAAGUCGAACGAGUGGCGGACGGGUGAGUAAUGCUUGGGAAUCUAGCUUAUGGAGGGGGAUAACUACGGGAAACUGUAGCUAAUACCGCGUACCAUAGGAUGAGCCCAAGUGGGAUUAGGUAGUUGGUGAGGUAAAGGCUCACCAAGCCGACGAUCUCUAGCUGGUCUGAGAGGAUGACCAGCCACACUGGGACUGAGACACGGCCCAGACUCCUACGGGAGGCAGCAGUGGGGAAUAUUGCGCAAUGGGGGCAACCCUGACGCAGCCAUGCCGCGUGAAUGAAGAAGGCCUUCGGGUUGUAAAGUUCUUUCAGCGGGGAGGCGUUACCCGCAGAAGAAGCACCGGCUAACUCCGUGCCAGCAGCCGCGGUAAUUC